GGAUUCCAAUCGCGUAAAUGGCGGACGGGUGAGUAAUGUCUGGGAAACUGCCUGAUGGAGGGGGAUAACUACUGGAAACGGUAGCUAAUACCGCAUACCAUCAGCUGUGCCCAGAUGGUAUUAGCUAGUUGGUGGGGUAACGUCUCACCAAGGCGACGAUCCCUAGCUGGUCUGAGAGGAUGACCAGACAAACGGGAAAGGAGACACGGUCCAGACUCCUACGGAAGGCAGCAUUUGGGAAUAUGGCACAAGGGGCGAAAGCCUGAUGCAGCCAUGCCGCGUGUAUGAAGAAGGCCUUCGGGUUGUAAAGUACUUUCAGCGGGGAGGCGUUACCCGCAGAAGAAGCACAGUCUAACUCCGUGCCAGAAGCAGAGGUAAUAC
This 381-nucleotide ribosomal RNA is filed under the name uncultured bacterium. Its description in RNAcentral is "partial 16S ribosomal RNA". It matches the Rfam family "Bacterial small subunit ribosomal RNA", at positions 78 to 526 of the family's 1533-position model. The record is from RNAcentral.